UCUUCAGGGGCAGGGUGUAAUUCCCGACCGGUGGUAUAGUCCACGAACCAAGUGCUUGCGCUUGGCCGAUGCGGUGAAAUUCCGUAACCGACAGUAAAGUCUGGAUAAAGAAG
RNAcentral lists this non-coding RNA (113 nucleotides) under uncultured Enterococcus sp. RNAcentral's name for it is "FMN riboswitch (RFN element)". It matches the Rfam family "FMN riboswitch aptamer (RFN element)". From Rfam's summary of the family: The RFN element is a highly conserved domain that is found frequently in the 5'-untranslated regions of prokaryotic mRNAs that encode for flavin mononucleotide (FMN) biosynthesis and transport proteins. Lineage: Bacteria; Bacillati; Bacillota; Bacilli; Lactobacillales; Enterococcaceae. The record is from RNAcentral.